This 466-nucleotide ribosomal RNA is filed under the name uncultured bacterium. RNAcentral's name for it is "partial 16S ribosomal RNA". It matches the Rfam family "Bacterial small subunit ribosomal RNA", at positions 338 to 795 of the family's 1533-position model. The record is from RNAcentral.
CCUACGGGUGGGCAGCAGUAGGGAAUCUUCCACAAUGGACGAAAGUCUGAUGGAGCAACGCCGCGUGAGUGAAGAAGGGUUUCGGCUCGUAAAGCUCUGUUGGCAGUGAAGAAAGAUAGAGGCAGUAACUGGCCUUUAUUUGCCGGUAAUUACAUAGUAAGUUACCGCUAAAUACGUGCCAGCAGCCGCGGUAAUACGGCGGUGGUUAGCUUGGUCCGGGUUUUUUGGGCGGAAAGCGCGGGGUGGCGUUUCUAUAAGUCUGAUGUGAAAGCCUUCGGCUCAACCGGAGAAUUGCACCGGAAACUGGUAGACUUGAGUGCAGGAGAGGAGAGUGGAACGCCAUGUGUAGCGGUGGAAUGCGUAGAUAUAUGGAAGAACACCAGUGGCGAAGGCGGCUCUCUGGUCUGCAACUGACGCUGAGGCACGAAAGCAUGGGUAGCGAACAGGAUUAGAUACCCGAGUAGUC